UCGCAAGGCUCAAAUUGGGCUCGCUCACGAGUAAUUGUGUGCGGAACACCUGUCAAAUUCGGUGAAACCUCUCUCGCGGUGCGAGGUGGCAAUACCGAGCCAAGUCCUGAGUAAAAACCAAGGGAAAGGUGUAGAGACUAGAUGGCAGGCCCCUAUUUUGGAAGCUAGAAACUAGAUGCUAGAAGCUGGAGAUGCCUGAAGGCAUUAGAUUUUUCCAGACUCUAGUUUCCGGUCUCUAGUUUCUAGAGUGGGGUGAAGGUAUAGUCCAGACCACGAAUUCAUUCGUCA
Non-coding RNA from Candidatus Kaiserbacteria bacterium, 288 nucleotides. NCBI's taxonomy places the organism in Bacteria, Candidatus Kaiseribacteriota. The record is from Rfam.